GAGUUUGAUCAUGGCUCAGAUUGAACGCUGGCGGCAGGCCUAACACAUGCAAGUCGAGCGGAUGACAGGAGCUUGCUCCUUGAUUCAGCGGCGGACGGGUGAGUAAUGCCUAGGAAUCUGCCUGGUAGUGGGGGACAACGUUUCGAAAGGAACGCUAAUACCGCAUACGUCCUACGGGAGAAAGCAGGGGACCUUCGGGCCUUGCGCUAUCAGAUGAGCCUAGGUCGGAUUAGCUAGUUGGUGGGGUAAUGGCUCACCAAGGCGACGAUCCGUAACUGGUCUGAGAGGAUGAUCAGUCACACUGGAACUGAGACACGGUCCAGACUCCUACGGGAGGCAGCAGUGGGGAAUAUUGGACAAUGGGCGAAAGCCUGAUCCAGCCAUGCCGCGUGUGUGAAGAAGGUCUUCGGAUUGUAAAGCACUUUAAGUUGGGGAGGAAGGGCAGUAAGCUAAUACCUUGCUGUUUUUGACGUUACCGACAGAAUAAGCACCGGCUAACUCUGUGCCAGCAGCCGCGGUAAUACAGAGGGUGCAAGCGUUAAUCGGAAUUACUGGGCGUAAAGCGCGCGUAAGGUGGUUUGUUAAGUUGGAUGUGAAAGCCCCGG
This 605-nucleotide ribosomal RNA is filed under the name uncultured organism. RNAcentral describes it as "bacterial SSU rRNA". It matches the Rfam family "Bacterial small subunit ribosomal RNA", at positions 9 to 606 of the family's 1533-position model. The record is from RNAcentral.